Molecule: ribosomal RNA, 198 nt
Filed under: uncultured fungus
Lineage: Eukaryota; Fungi
Description: partial small subunit ribosomal RNA
Rfam family: Eukaryotic small subunit ribosomal RNA (bases 93-198)
Source: RNAcentral
GGCUGCCUCUGUCGUGGCCUAGCCGCGUACAAGACAGUCAUCCGUCUGCGAACCAUGCUAGGCCUUCACUGGUCGGUAUGGGGAGCAGGCACUUUACUUUGAAAAAAUUAGAGUGUUCAAGGCAGGCUUUGCCCGAAUACAUUAGCAUGGAAUAAUGGAAUAGGACUUAGUCCAUUUUGUUGGUUAUUGGAUUAGGUA